Molecule: long non-coding RNA, 566 nt
Filed under: Bos indicus x Bos taurus (hybrid cattle)
Lineage: Eukaryota; Metazoa; Chordata; Mammalia; Artiodactyla; Bovidae
Description: lncRNA (ENSBIXG00000008690.1)
Source: RNAcentral
GCUCCUGGUCCUACGCAUAUCACCCAUCACUUGCAUGUGCCCUGGUGAGGCUCCAAUCCAGGAUGUAAACACCGCUGAGAGAUUUCCACCGAAAAUGGAUGAGUGGGGAGCUGGCUUCAGAAUGAAUGGGGACCAUCCAGCCUGGAAGGGAUGCUAGGAUGCCCCACCCCCAACAUAAGUGUCACCUCUCUGUACUGAGACCCAUUGAGUCUCUGAAGAUCUCUUCUCAACAGUAACCUGUAUGAAAUCAUCAUGUGACUUCACAGGAAAUUUGAUCACAGGCUCAGGUGGAAUAAGUCAUAGUUUCCUCUGGGUGCCCAGCCCUGUUCAUGCUGGCUGUGGCUUCAGAACACUGCCCCUCCAGGAGAAACUGCAAGAGAAAACUGUUCAGGAACAUCUUCAGGUGAGGAAACCAAGACAUAAAAUAGUUAAGACCCGAAGUCAAACGUUAACCCUGAAACAAUCUUCAAAGCCUGCUGAGAACAAAAGAUUGCAUACUCUGUCCUCAGCUUUACUUGCUUGACCUGCUUUCCAACCUGGACUGAAGCCACAGAGCUCAAGAAGUU